CAGCCGCCGCGGUAAUACCGGCGGCCCGAGUGGCGGUCACUAUUAUUGGGCUUAAAGCGUCCGUAGCCGGGGUGGGAAGUCCUCCGGGAAAUCUGGCCGCUUAAAGGUCAGAAUGCCGGAGGAUACUCCCAGCCUAGGGAGCGGGAGAGGCCGAGGGGAUUCCCGGAGUAGGGGUGAAAUCCUAUAAUCCCGGGAGGACCACCUGUGGCGAAGGCGCUCGGCUGGAACGCGUCCGACGGUGAGGGACGAAGGCCAGGGGAGCAAACCGGAUUAGAUACCCGGGUAGUCCUGGCUGUAAACGAUGCGGACUUUGUGUCGGACAAGCUAUGAGCUUGUCCGGUGCCGGAGGGAAACCGUUAAGUCCGCCGCCUGGGGAGUACGGCCGCAAGGCUGAAACUUAAAGGAAUUGGCGGG
This 414-nucleotide ribosomal RNA is filed under the name uncultured microorganism. RNAcentral's name for it is "bacterial SSU rRNA". It matches the Rfam family "Archaeal small subunit ribosomal RNA", at positions 459 to 872 of the family's 1478-position model. The record is from RNAcentral.